Molecule: long non-coding RNA, 932 nt
Filed under: Penaeus japonicus
Lineage: Eukaryota; Metazoa; Arthropoda; Malacostraca; Decapoda; Penaeidae
Description: uncharacterized LOC122265657, transcript variant X2
Source: RNAcentral
UUUCCUGGCACGUGAAGCAGAGGGAAGUCAGCUCAUAUAGAGGUGUUGGGUGGUAUGAGGGAAGAGUGGCUAAGCGCUAUGCUGCCCACUCUUCCCUCAUACCACCCGACACCUCUAUCUGAGCUGACCUGUCUCUACUUUUGUUUUCCUGGCACGUGGAAGCAGAGGGAAGUCAGGUCAGGUAGAGGUGUCGGGUGGUAUGAGGGAAGAGUGGCUAAGCGCUAUGCUGCCCACUCUUCCCUCAUACCACCCGACACCUCUAUCUGAGCUGACCUGUCUCUACUUUUGUUUUCCUGGCACGUGGAAGCAGAGGGAAGUCAGGUCAGGUAGAGGUGUCGGGUGGUAUGAGGGAAGAGUGGCUAAGCGCUAUGCUGCCCACUCUUCCCUCAUACCACCCGACACCUCUAUCUGAGCUGACCUGUCUCUACUUUUGUUUUCCUGGCAUGUGGAAGCAGAGGGAAGUCAGGUCAGGUUGAAGUGUGGGGAAGUAUGUGGGAAGAGUGGGCAGCAUAGCGCUUAUCCAUUCUUAGCUCAUAUCACCUGACGCCUCUAUUUGAUAAGACCAUCCUCUACUUCUGUUUGUUUGUUAGAACUUUAACCUUAGAGAAACCUUAGAUAUGGGAAGAUCUAUGAUGACUUAGGAUUAAUAGCUAUUUGAUUUUAAAGGUUAUCUCUUAUAACAGUGUUUGUGGUUUGUUUGCCACACAGUAAUUCAUCACAGGUUUUAAAUUCCAAAUGUAAAAAAUACAAAUUAUAUACCUUGUCAAAAUCAAUUUUUAUCAUAUUUUUUGUGGAUACUGUUUACCAAAAAAUACAAUAUCUGGUCUAGCAGGCAGUCAGGAAUAUUGAGUUGCUUAAUCAUAUUUAGUUCUUUAUGUUACUUAUAGUUAUGUAUCUUUUUUUGUGUUAAAUUCAAUAAACCAUAAACUGUA